Long non-coding RNA from Lineus longissimus, 1240 nucleotides. RefSeq lists it as uncharacterized. Lineage: Eukaryota; Metazoa; Nemertea; Pilidiophora; Heteronemertea; Lineidae. The record is from RefSeq and is a predicted model, not a curated record. The transcript is spliced from 3 exons.
AUUGCUCAGUUUGCCUGCACCAGAGCUUUAGGGAGGACAGACAUGUACGAUGAGACAUUCUCAAUGCAGCAUUACAGAAUCUGGUGGACAAGAUCCCAUUCAGACAGUCAGAUGGAAGAACACAACACACCCCAAAUAGGCCAGUCCUCAGAGCAAAUAACACAGCCAGGGGAUUAAAAUCAUAGCAAUGGCCUUCCGACGUGUUCUUUUGUUUGGUGAAAAGAAAAUGGUGCCUUUGCCGGUGAUGUCUUCCCCAUAUUCUCAUGUCAUUGAUUGUUGUGUGUCACGAGGUGAAGGAACCAAGAUUGUGUCCGAAUGUCUACACUAUCAGUAUACUAUCACGUCAUCAGUGUGCAGCAUUCAUGCAUCUCGACCCAAUUGUGACUGUUCCUCAUCCAAAUUAACCUCACAAUAGAGCCUUCUGAUUGGUUUGUUUCUUAACAGUGGUGCAGCACUUUUGAUUUAGCCCUAGGCGUAGGCCUACCCCGCUUUUGGAUAUUUUAAUUUUUUUUACAACCACUCCAUUCAACAUUAUUUUGACUUAAGAAGUUAGCCCGGAGGUGGCAACAGUAUGGUUUAGACAAUGGAAGACUGCUGAAAUAUGGAAUCUGCAAACUGGUUAAGUGAGGAUGCAAUCAUUCCGGAUUCCACAUUUUACUAUUUUUAGCAUCCUAUUGAUAUUGUCUAAACCGUACCGUCGCCACUUCCGAGCCAACUUCUUAACCAAGACAGGAGGGGAAAACUCUUGAAAUCACACCCAAAUUCUGCAGGUCAAAUAUCCGAGAUUGACGCCAAAACAGACGCAUCAUUAUCACUGAAUUACAAUCAUUGAAGAAGUAGGCCUAUAGACAUGAUUGAUAGACAUGGUAGGUGAUGCUGUGUACUGUAAAAGAAGUGCCCAACCCACUUUUGCAGUCUCCCUCAUAAUCAGUCAAAAUAACUUCAGCUACAGGAGGCUUGGCACAGUAUUUACAUUUAUUCUACACUGAGCAACACGACCAGAUGGUAGAAAUAUGUAGGAGAGGUCUUAUGGGACAUUACCAACACAUAAAACUAUGAACAUUCAUUGACAAUAUCAAAUCUAGCACAGCUUUUCGUGACCUUCUGACUCCACUGAAGAAGCAGGACGCCAUUUUGUUUCUUCACGGGGAGGUGCCAUCCCGAUAAAAUGUUCAAAAACCGGCCGCUGUUUUCUUGUCUUACAGCAGCGCAUCCAUUAAUAUAAUAACCUACCCAAAAU